AGUGAACGCUGGCGGUAGGCCUAACACAUGCAAGUCGAACGGCAGCACAGUAAGAGCUUGCUCUUACGGGUGGCGAGUGGCGGACGGGUGAGGAAUACAUCGGAAUCUACUUUUUCGUGGGGGAUAACGUAGGGAAACUUACGCUAAUACCGCAUACGACCUACGGGUGAAAGCAGGGGAUCUUCGGACCUUGCGCGAUUGAAUGAGCCGAUGUCGGAUUAGCUAGUUGGCGGGGUAAAGGCCCACCAAGGCGACGAUCCGUAGCUGGUCUGAGAGGAUGAUCAGCCACACUGGAACUGAGACACGGUCCAGACUCCUACGGGAGGCAGCAGUGGGGAAUAUUGGACAAUGGGCGCAAGCCUGAUCCAGCCAUACCGCGUGGGUGAAGAAGGCCUUCGGGUUGUAAAGCCCUUUUGUUGGGAAAGAAACGCGGCAGGUUAAUACCCCGCUGUUCUGACGGUACCCAAAGAAUAAGCACCGGCUAACUUCGUG
Molecule: ribosomal RNA, 492 nt
Filed under: uncultured bacterium
Lineage: Bacteria
Description: partial 16S ribosomal RNA
Rfam family: Bacterial small subunit ribosomal RNA
Source: RNAcentral